This 468-nucleotide ribosomal RNA is filed under the name uncultured bacterium. RNAcentral's name for it is "partial 16S ribosomal RNA". It matches the Rfam family "Bacterial small subunit ribosomal RNA", at positions 28 to 507 of the family's 1533-position model. The record is from RNAcentral.
GACGAACGCUGGCGGCGUGCUUAACACAUGCAAGUCGAACGGAAAGGCCCUGCUUUUGUGGGGUGCUCGAGUGGCGAACGGGUGAGUAACAUGUGAGUAACCUGCCCUUGACUUUGGGAUAACUUCAGGAAACUGGGGCUAAUACCGGAUAGGAGCUCCUGCUGCAUGGUGGGGGUUGGAAAGUUUCGGCGGUUGGGGAUGGACUCGCGGCUUAUCAGCUUGUUGGUGGGGUAGUGGCUUACCAAGGCUUUGACGGGUAGCCGGCCUGAGAGGGUGACCGGCCACAUUGGGACUGAGAUACGGCCCAGACUCCUACGGGAGGCAGCAGUGGGGAAUAUUGCACAAUGGGCGGAAGCCUGAUGCAGCAACGCCGCGUGCGGGAUGACGGCCUUCGGGUUGUAAACCGCUUUCGCCUGUGACGAAGCGUGAGUGACGGUAAUGGAUAAAGAAGCACCGGCUAACUACGUG